GGGGGUAUAGCUCAGUAGCAGAGCGUGUGCUUGGAGUGCAUUAAGUCCUGGGUUCAAUUCCCAGUGCCUCCA
This 72-nucleotide transfer RNA is filed under the name Camelus dromedarius (Arabian camel). It matches the Rfam family "tRNA". Rfam says of the family: Transfer RNA (tRNA) molecules are approximately 80 nucleotides in length. Their secondary structure includes four short double-helical elements and three loops (D, anti-codon, and T loops). Further hydrogen bonds mediate the characteristic L-shaped molecular structure. tRNAs have two regions of fundamental functional importance: the anti-codon, which is responsible for specific mRNA codon recognition, and the 3' end, to which the tRNAs corresponding amino acid is attached (by aminoacyl-tRNA synthetases). tRNAs cope with the degeneracy of the genetic code in two manners: having more than one tRNA (with a specific anti-codon) for a particular amino acid; and 'wobble' base-pairing, i.e. permitting non-standard base-pairing at the 3rd anti-codon position. Lineage: Eukaryota; Metazoa; Chordata; Mammalia; Artiodactyla; Camelidae. The record is from Rfam by way of RNAcentral. RNAcentral also lists the same sequence under 1 other name.